RNAcentral lists this ribosomal RNA (2793 nucleotides) under Fagopyrum esculentum (common buckwheat). RNAcentral's name for it is "eukaryotic LSU rRNA". The stretch from base 1514 to 2793 matches the Rfam family "Eukaryotic large subunit ribosomal RNA", at positions 1891 to 3289 of the family's 3401-position model. Lineage: Eukaryota; Viridiplantae; Streptophyta; Magnoliopsida; Caryophyllales; Polygonaceae. The record is from RNAcentral.
AUGCCCGACGCNNNNNNNNNNNNNNNNNNNNNNNNNNNNNNNNNNNNNNNNNNNNNNNNNNNNNNGUGGCCUUGUCAUGCCCGAGGAUGGUAGUGCCAUGCCCGACGAUGGUCUUGCAAUGUCCGAGAGUGGCCUUAUCAUGCCCGAGGAUGGCAGUGCCAUGCCCGACGCCGGCCUUGUCAUGACUGACGAUGGCCUUGUCACCCCCGAAGUUGGCCUUGUCAUGCCCGACGAUGGCCUUGUCAUGACCUUGUUAUACCCGAUGUUGGUCUUGUCAUACCCGAUGAUGGCUUUGCCAUGUCCGAGAGUGGCCUUGUCAUGCCCGACGCCGGCCUUGUCAUUCCAAACGCUGGCCUUAUCAUGCCCGGCGCUGGCCUUGGCAUGCCCGACGAUGGCCUUGACAUGCCCGACGCUGGCCUCACCACGCCCGUGAGUGGCCUUAACAUGGCCUGUAAUGCCCGACCCUGGCCAUGUCAUGCCCGACGAUGGCCUUGCCAUGACCGAGAGUGGCCUUGUCAUGCCCGAGGAUGGUAGUGCCAUUCCCGACGCCGGCCUUGUCAUGCCCGACGCUGGCCUUGUCAUGUCCGACGAUGGCCUUGUCACGCCCGAAGCUGGCCUUGCCAUGCCUGACGAUGGUCUUGUCAUGUCCGAGAGUUGCCUUGUCAUGAAUUUGUCAUGCCCGACGCUGGCCUUGUCAUGUCCGAGAGUGGCAUUGUCAUGCCCGAGGAUAACAUUGUCAUGCCCGACGUCGGCCUUGUCAUUCCAAACGCUUUCCUUGUCAUGGGCGACUCUGGCCUUGUCAUGCCCGACGAUGACUUUGAAAUGCCCGACGCUGGCCUCGCCAUGCCCGUGAGUGGCCUUGUCAUGCUCGACGAUGGCCGUGCCAUGUCCGAGAGUGGCCUUGUCAUGCCCGAGGAUGACAUUGCCAUGCUUGACGUCGGCCUUGUCAUGCAAAACGCUAGCCUUGUCAUGCCCGACGCUGGCAUUGUCAUGCCUGACUAGGCCUUUCCAUGCUGGACGCUGGCCUCGCCAUGCCCAAGAGUGGCCUUGUCAUGGCCUUAUCACGCUUGAAGCUGGCCUUGCCAUGCUCGAUGAUGGCCUUGUCAUGUCCGAGAGUUCCCUUGUCAUGACCUUGUCAUGCCCGACGCUGGCCUUGUCAUGCCCGACGUUGGCCUUGUCAUGCCCGACGAUGGCUUUGCCUUGUCCGAAAGUGACCUUGUCAUGCCCGAGGAUGACAUUUCCAUGCCCAACGCCGGCCUUGUCAUGCAAACGAUGUCCUUGUCAUGCCCGACAUUGGCCUUGUCAUGCCCGACGAUGGCCUUGUCAUGCCCUACGCUGGCCUUGUCAUGCCCGACCGAGGCCUUUUCAUGUGCAACGAUGGCCUUGCCAUGCCUGGCGCUAGCCUUGUCAUGUCCGAAUGUUGCCUUGUCAUACCCAACGAUGGCCAUGCCAUGUCCGACGAUGGCCUUGUCAUGCCCGGCGCUGGCCUUGUCAUGCUCGGAACCCGAAGGUCAAGAUCUUCGGACGGAAGGUCGGUUUGGUUGGGUUGGAUAUUUAAAUUCGGGGGACGGGAUGGGAACGACUCCCUUAGGGUCUUCCCUGGGCGUCAAACAGUUGACUUAGAACUGGUACGGACAACGGGAAUCCGGCUGUUUAAUUAAAAAAAAAGAAUUGCGAAGGUCCCUGCGGAUGUUAACACAAUGUGAUUUCUGCCUAGUGCUUUGAAUGUCAAAGUGACGAAAUUCAACAAAGCGCUGAUUAACGGACCGAGUAACUAUGACUCUCUUAAGGUAGCCAAAUGCCUCGUCAUCUAAUUAGAGACGCGCAUGAAUGGAUUAACAAGAUUCCCACUGUCCUUGUCUACUAUCUAGCGAAACAACAAUCAAGGGAACGGGUUUGGCAGAAUCCGCGGGGAAAGAAGACCCUAUUGAGCUCGACUGUAGUCCGACUUUGUGAAAUAAUUUGAGAGGUGUAGGAUAAGUGGGAGCCUCGCGGCGAAAGUGAAAUACCACUACUUUUAACGUUAUUUUACUUACUCCGUGAGCCAGAAGCGGGGCAUCACCCCUCUUUCUAAACUCAAGGGCCGCGUCCGCGGCUCAUUUUGGGUGGAGGACAUUGUCAGGUAGGGAGUUUGGCUGGGGCGGCACAUCUGUUAAAAGAUAACGCAAGUGUCCUAAAAUGAGGUCAAUGAGAACAGAAAUCUCGUGUGGAACACAAGGGUCAAAGCUCGUUUGAUUCUAAUUUUCAGUACGAAUACGAACCGUGAAAGCGUGGCGUAACGGUCCUUUAGACCUUCGGAAUGUGAAGCUAGAGGUGUCAGAAAAGUUACCACAGGAAUAACUAGCUUUUGGCAGCCAAGCGUUCAGAGCGACGUUACUUUUUGAUCCUUCGAUGUCGGCUCUUCCUAUCAUUGUGAAGCAAAAUUCACCAAGUGUUGGAUUGUUCACCCACCAAUAGCGAACGUGAGCUGGGUUUAGACCAUCGUGGGACAGGUUAGUUUUACCCUACUGAUGACAGCGCCGCGAUGGUAAUUCAACCUAGUACGAGAGGAACCGUUGAUUUGCACAAUUUGUCAUCGGCCUUGGUUGUAAAGGCAGUGGCGCGAAGCUACCGUGCAUUGGAUUAUGACUGAACACCUCUAAGUAAGAUUCCGGGCCAGAAGCGACGCAUGUGCCCGCUGCCCGAUUGCCGGCCUACAAUAGGGACUUCGGUCCCCAAGAGCACGCGUCAUAGGCCCAGCCCGCGCGUCGGAUGCGUUGUGCGGGCCGCCUUGAAGCAUAAUUUCCUCCGAGC